GAGUGAUUUUAUGUAAGGUAACGCGAGAUAUUAGUGCGGUUCAAUCAAAUAGUCGUCCUCUUAACUCAUGGAGAUCGGUGUUGUUCGAUUGAGCCGUGCCAAUAUCACGCGGUAAACCAAAAUGGCAAAGAUCGAUC
Molecule: microRNA precursor, 137 nt
Filed under: Arabidopsis lyrata
Lineage: Eukaryota; Viridiplantae; Streptophyta; Magnoliopsida; Brassicales; Brassicaceae
Source: RNAcentral